GCCCGGAUGGCGGAAUGGUAGACGCGUUGGACUUAGAAUCCAAUAGGUGAAACCCUGUGCCGGUUCAAGUCCGGCUUCGGGCA
Molecule: transfer RNA, 83 nt
Filed under: Clostridiales bacterium
Lineage: Bacteria; Bacillati; Bacillota; Clostridia; Eubacteriales
Description: tRNA-Leu
Rfam family: tRNA
About the family: Transfer RNA (tRNA) molecules are approximately 80 nucleotides in length.
Source: RNAcentral